This is an RNA transcript of Diospyros lotus (date-plum), 950 nucleotides long. It is a transcript of the gene named protein NONRESPONDING TO OXYLIPINS 2, mitochondrial, with no coding region annotated. The record is from RefSeq and is a predicted model, not a curated record. The transcript is spliced from 5 exons. Lineage: Eukaryota; Viridiplantae; Streptophyta; Magnoliopsida; Ericales; Ebenaceae.
GACUCCAAAAUCUAAUCUGUGCGCUUCCCGCAGAACGGCGCAUUUUAACCAAAACCCUAAACCCUUCCUGAAGCGCUGCUGGCGAACGGUGCGCGAGAGACUGCAGAUGGCUUCGAGAUGCAGCAGAUUCAUCAACAGAUCAUCAAUGUCGUCUCUCAAGUCCGCCAUUAAAUCAACUAUUGGAACGGCUUCGGGUUCCAUUGACAGAUCUGCGACUCCAAGGUUCUCUCUCCCCGUCAGAUCCACCUCUUCACCCCUUCGACGAUUCUGCUCUAGAUCUCCUUCAGAGCUUGGAUGCCUGCAGUCUCUGUUACCUCUCCACAGCGCAGUUGCAGUGGCAAGGAUGACCUCUUGCCUUAGCUCGACUUCGAGGAGUUGCAGAGCUCUUUCUCAGGGUACUCUUUGCUGUACCUCUCCUGGCCUCUAAUGCACAUGAAUUUCGAAUGCUUGAAAGAUGAAAUUGAUGGAACGUGACAUAUAUUCUGCUGUUUCUGGAGGUGGCCUCCUCAUAGCUUGGUCAAUCGGUGCCAAGGUGAUUUGUCGGUAGACCAUUGGCAAUGGAGAGCUUUGGAAAAGGAAAUUUACAGUUCACCCCCACCAAAACUCAUGUCGAUUUCAAGAAGUAGCGAUUGAACUUUCAGUUAGCUGUUGAAUGAAUUAAUUUUUGGAUCUUCACCAUGUGGAAAUGGUUGGUUCAAUAAGUACGUUCCAAGCAACUUAGUAGUAUUUGUCGCCAGUUUUUUAUGGGAACGAACGGGUGCAUCUGCAUUCUCAUGACAUUUUUCUUUGUGCUCUUCUGCGUAGAGGCCGCAAUGUUUGUUUUUUAAGUCAAAACUGUAUCACAAGGGUCGCUCCUUUGAUUUGUAGAAACAGUUGCUUUGAGAAAUUUGAAAAAAAAAAAAAAAAAAGAGAGAGAAGAAAAACAAAUAAAACUCAUUAAGUUAAAAAGA